This 28-nucleotide small RNA is filed under the name Bombyx mori (domestic silkworm). RNAcentral's name for it is "ovarian small RNA-5982". Lineage: Eukaryota; Metazoa; Arthropoda; Insecta; Lepidoptera; Bombycidae. The record is from RNAcentral.
UACAUGCCGGACCACAGCUGUUGUUAUC